GUGGGGUUCAGUUUGCUUAGUCUUUAGUGUUCUAUGAUGUGUCUGGUGUACUAUUAUUUGUCUGUUUUGUCUUUUUAUUUUACCAUAGCGUUGUCAGUUCAUUUUCUAUCUUCGAGUUUGACUGUCCCUCUGAUAUCUUGCCUAUGUUGCUAGUUAAAUAGCAACUAUUAGACAUUCAUAUCAUUAGGUUAAUCGACAUCCCUUAUAAAAUAUAUGUAACAAUCGAAAAGAUGUUUAGUUUCAGUUUGUUUGGCUGUCUCGGAUGGGUUAUU
This 272-nucleotide long non-coding RNA is filed under the name Mytilus galloprovincialis (Mediterranean mussel). The record is from RNAcentral. Lineage: Eukaryota; Metazoa; Mollusca; Bivalvia; Mytilida; Mytilidae.